RNAcentral lists this ribosomal RNA (425 nucleotides) under uncultured bacterium. RNAcentral's name for it is "partial 16S ribosomal RNA". It matches the Rfam family "Bacterial small subunit ribosomal RNA", at positions 354 to 796 of the family's 1533-position model. The record is from RNAcentral.
GUGGGGAAUAUUGGACAAUGGGCGCAAGCCUGAUCCAGCCAUGCCGCGUGAGUGAUGAAGGCCUUAGGGUUGUAAAGCUCUUUCAGUGGGGACGAUAAUGACGGUACCCACAGAAGAAGCCCCGGCUAACUUCGUGCCAGCAGCCGCGGUAAUACGAAGGGGGCUAGCGUUGUUCGGAUUUACUGGGCGUAAAGCGCACGUAGGCGGAUCGUUAAGUCGGGGGUGAAAUCCUGGAGCUCAACUCCAGAACUGCCUUCGAUACUGGCGAUCUUGAGGCCGGAAGAGGUGAGUGGAACUCCUAGUGUAGAGGUGGAAUUCGUAGAUAUUAGGAAGAACACCAGUGGCGAAGGCGGCUCACUGGUCCGGUACUGACGCUGAGGUGCGAAAGCGUGGGGAGCAAACAGGAUUAGAAAUCCGUGUAGUCC